GGAUAUGGCAUAACCUGACUGUGAUGAAUGUCACCCCAGUGAUUAUCUGGAUUAAUUCCACUGGUCUGGUUGGCUAAUAAGCACCUCCUCUCAUUGAUCCCUGGGAACUCUCCUGAAGCGACACUCCUGGUCAGUGAAGCAGGCCUGCCAUAGUAGAUGAGGGAGCAGUCUUCAGCCAAGGGUAUAGGAGCAGCUACUCCUUGCUUGGACCCCAAGCAGCUUUCAAGAAAGUCCUAAGAAGAUUCCUCUGGUUCUAAUUA
RNAcentral lists this small nuclear RNA (260 nucleotides) under Microtus ochrogaster (prairie vole). Its description in RNAcentral is "7SK RNA (ENSMOCG00000005749.1)". It matches the Rfam family "7SK RNA". Rfam says of the family: 7SK was discovered as an abundant small nuclear RNA in the mid-70s but a possible function has only recently been suggested. Two independent studies have found that 7SK RNA binds the CDK9/cyclin T complex (known as elongation factor P-TEFb). P-TEFb activates transcription by phosphorylating the C-terminal domain of RNA polymerase II. The record is from RNAcentral. Lineage: Eukaryota; Metazoa; Chordata; Mammalia; Rodentia; Cricetidae.